GCAGUCGAACGCUGAAGCACCUUCGGGUGUGGAUGAGUGGCGAACGGGUGAGUAACACGUGGGUAAUCUGUCCUGUACUCUGGGAUAAGCCCUGGAAACGGGGUCUAAUACCGGAUAUGACUUCGCACCGCAUGGUGUGGGGUGGAAAGUUCUGGCGGUACAGGGUGAGCCCGCGGCCUAUCAGCUUGUUGGUGGGGUGAUGGCCUACCAAGGCGACGACGGGUAGCCGGCCUGAGAGGGUGACCGGCCACACUGGGACUGAGACACGGCCCAGACUCCUACGGGAGGCAGCAGUGGGGAAUAUUGCACAAUGGGCGCAAGCCUGAUGCAGCGACGCCGCGUGGGGGAUGACGGCCUUCGGGUUGUAAACCUCUUUCGCCAGGGACGAAGCGUAAGUGACGGUACCUGGAGAAGAAGCACCGGCUAACUACGUGCCAGCAGCCGCGGUAAUACGUAGGGUGCGAGCGUUGUCCGGAAUUAUUGGGCGUAAAGAGCUCGUAGGCGGUUUGUUGCGUCGGCCGUGAAAACUGGAGGCUUAACCUUCAGCUUGCGGUCGAUACGGGCAGACUUGAGUUCGGUAGGGGAGACUGGAAUUCCUGGUGUAGCGGUGAAAUGCGCAGAUAUCAGGAGGAACACCGGUGGCGAAGGCGGGUCUCUGGGCCGAUACUGACGCUGAGGAGCGAAAGCGUGGGGAGCGAACAGGAUUAGAUACCCUGGUAGUCCACGCUGUAAACGUUGGGCGCUAGGUGUGGGUG
RNAcentral lists this ribosomal RNA (755 nucleotides) under Amycolatopsis sp. Its description in RNAcentral is "bacterial SSU rRNA". It matches the Rfam family "Bacterial small subunit ribosomal RNA", at positions 57 to 828 of the family's 1533-position model. Lineage: Bacteria; Bacillati; Actinomycetota; Actinomycetes; Pseudonocardiales; Pseudonocardiaceae. The record is from RNAcentral.